GCCAGAUGCCUAAUUUAAUGGCAAUUUUAAAGCAAAAUGUCUGUAUUUUCAAAGCUGUCAACUUAUUUCUGGACAACCGUCUCCUUUCGCUUACACAUUUCAUCCUUUUAAGUAAUAUUUAAUGACAUGAUGUAAUUAUUUUGACAAGCUCAAGGGCAUAAACAAGCUUGGAGCCCAGCACAGGCGAUGCUUGGUUAGCCCAGCUCAGCUGGGUGGAGAGGCAUGCGGGACAGCAGCCCACAUCUGGAGGCGCCAGGGAUGCUACGGUGCAGGGGUGGUGAGAGCCCCGGGUCAUCUGGUGAGUCGAGCAAGUUGAGGUCGAUUUAGAGCUUCCACUGGCUGCAACUUCAUGGGAACUAAAGCUCAGGUGCGCCGAGGAGGCAUUAACAGAGAUGUAGCGUCCAGAACAGGGGAGGACACGGUACUGCUCCUCUCUGUCUGGUCAGACCCCCCCCCAGAGAGCUGUGCUGAGCUGCUGAAGCUGCACCCUUUGAAGUGCCGCUGGCAAAGAACAGGUUGGGGAAAAGGAAUCAGGCCAUGGAUGUGACCGUUUAGCUCAGCAAAGAGGAGCUUCAGGCGGGGCGCGAUCAAGGUGCUCACAUCUCCAGGAGAGAGGAGGGAGAAGAACACUUGUUCCCCGUGGCUCCGGCAGGCAGAGCCAGGCCCUGUGAGUGACCCUCCGGCUCCUUCCAGAACUACCUCUCCCCCACCCCCACCCGAGCCCUGCUGUCUCUGUACCCAUUGUCUCUCUUACAUAGCACAGAUCGCGAUGUACGAUUAAAGGCUUCAUCACUCUGAGAUUCUGGACGCGGUCUGUGCCCUGUCACCCGCCUCGUCCCAGCCUAGAGCUGGCUUACCAUCGGCCAAGUGUCUGCCUGUGAACGCAGCGUCAGGGAGGCUUUGGAGCGGUUUGAAGGAGAGCUGGCCCAGGAGGGGCCUUUCCCCCCAGGCCCUCGGUUCACCCCUGCUGGAGAGGUGGGGCAGGUCAGAGCUGUUGAUUCAAGGAGACCGGACUUCUUUUCUCCGAGGCAGCAACUUCGGAGAAGAGUCCCCACGAGCACAAUCGCCGAUGUCCAGCCACUUUCCAUCCUGGCCCCUGGCCCCUCCCCGAGGUGCUCCGGCGUCCAGAAUAAGAAGAGAGCAGACUCUGCUGCUUGAGUCACGCGUCCACAGGAGGCAAGAGUUUCAAACCUGAAGUACACAGAACUGGACGAGCUCUACCAGUGUCCCCAGCGCAAGGGGGAUGCUAGCCCUCUCAGCAUUCCUUGGCCUUCGGGAAAUUACCUUCCUUUGUUGAAGAGGCCUGGGGGAUCUGGCCAGCAGGGUCCCCCCUACACCGCCCCGUUAUCCUCUGGCCAAGGAACGAUGGGAGUGUGGGAGCUCCCCAGGCCAAUUCUCCCUCCCUGGAGGGACUGCUUGAUUCAUUGCUUGACUGAUUAAUUCUUUUGUUUAUUUGUUGCCAGCAAAAGGACAGCUUU
Long non-coding RNA from Lagenorhynchus albirostris (white-beaked dolphin), 1478 nucleotides. RefSeq lists it as uncharacterized. The transcript has 3 exons. The record is from RefSeq and is a predicted model, not a curated record. Lineage: Eukaryota; Metazoa; Chordata; Mammalia; Artiodactyla; Delphinidae.